GACGAACGCUGGCGGCGUGCUUAACACAUGCAAGUCGAACGAAGAGCGAUGGAAGCUUGCUUCUAUCAAUCUUAGUGGCGAACGGGUGAGUAACGCGUAAUCAACCUGCCCUUCAGAGGGGGACAACAGUUGGAAACGACUGCUAAUACCGCAUACGAUCUAAUCUCGGCAUCGAGGAUAGAUGAAAGGUGGCCUCUACAUGUAAGCUAUCACUGAAGGAGGGGAUUGCGUCUGAUUAGCUAAUUGGAGGGGUAACGGCCCACCAAGGCGAUGAUCAGUAGCCGGUCUGAGAGGAUGAACGGCCACAUUGGGACUGAGACACGGCCCAGACUCCUACGGGAGGCAGCAGUGGGGAAUCUUCCGCAAUGGACGAAAGUCUGACGGAGCAACGCCGCGUGAGCGAUGACGGCCUUCGGGUUGUAAAGCUCUGUUAAUCGGGACGAAAGGCCUUCUUGCGAAUAGUGAGAAGGAUUGACGGUACCGGAAUAGAAAGCCACGGCUAACUACGUG
This 510-nucleotide ribosomal RNA is filed under the name uncultured bacterium. RNAcentral's name for it is "partial 16S ribosomal RNA". It matches the Rfam family "Bacterial small subunit ribosomal RNA", at positions 28 to 507 of the family's 1533-position model. The record is from RNAcentral.